AUGACUAGGGAUAACCUUAGGAAGAGACACAUCAUCAAACCCCUUGAUUGUGUUUACUGCUUGGAACAAGAGUCUUGUUCUCACCUAUUUUUUGAAUGUAUAGUUGCUAAACAUCUCUGGGCCCACAUUGAGGAAUAUUUCUCUAGUCAGAUUGGCUCAUCCUUUGAAUCUGUCGCCAGAUUCUGGAUUGCUACCAAAAAGUACUCAAUUUUAGAUACUGUUAGCUCAGCUGUCCUUUGGUGCCUCUAGAAAUAUAGAAAUGCUAUGAUUUUCAGUAACACCUCCUGGAUUUCCAUUCCGCGGGUCUUGAGGUUGAUCAGGAACAUGGUGAGGAACUGGGCAAUUCUCUCCUCCGGAUCGGACAAGGACAAGUUGAUGAGCUUCAUGGAAACCCUAACAAGAUCCCUCUAG
RNAcentral lists this ribosomal RNA (411 nucleotides) under Triticum aestivum (bread wheat). Its description in RNAcentral is "partial small subunit ribosomal RNA". The record is from RNAcentral. Lineage: Eukaryota; Viridiplantae; Streptophyta; Magnoliopsida; Poales; Poaceae.